AUUGAACGCUGGCGGCAGGCCUAACACAUGCAAGUCGAACGGUAGCACAGAGGAGCUUGCUCCUCGGGUGACGAGUGGCGGACGGGUGAGUAAUGUCUGGGGAUCUGCCCGAUGGAGGGGGAUAACCACUGGAAACGGUGGCUAAUACCGCAUAACGUCGCAAGACCAAAGUGGGGGACCUUCGGGCCUCACACCAUCGGAUGAACCCAGAUGGGAUUAGCUAGUAGGUGGGGUAACGGCUCACCUAGGCGACGAUCCCUAGCUGGUCUGAGAGGAUGACCAGCCACACUGGAACUGAGACACGGUCCAGACUCCUACGGGAGGCAGCAGUGGGGAAUAUUGCACAAUGGGCGCAAGCCUGAUGCAGCCAUGCCGCGUGUAUGAAGAAGGCCUUCGGGUUGUAAAGUACUUUCAGCGGGGAGGAAGGGGNNNAGGUUAAUAACCUCGUUCAUUGACGUUACCCGCAGAAGAAGCACCGGCUAACUC
RNAcentral lists this ribosomal RNA (486 nucleotides) under Pantoea sp. Its description in RNAcentral is "bacterial SSU rRNA". It matches the Rfam family "Bacterial small subunit ribosomal RNA", at positions 30 to 503 of the family's 1533-position model. Lineage: Bacteria; Pseudomonadati; Pseudomonadota; Gammaproteobacteria; Enterobacterales; Erwiniaceae. The record is from RNAcentral.